GUGAGGAAUUUUCCGCAAUGGGCGAAAGCCUGACGGAGCAAUGCCGCGUGAAGGAUGAAGGCCUAUGGGUUGUAAACUUCUUUUCUCAGAAAAGAAUUAUGACGGUAUCUGAGGAAUAAGCAUCGGCUAACUCUAUGCCAGCAGCCGCGGUAAGACAGAGGAUGCAAGCGUUAUCCGGAAUGAUUGGGCGUAAAGCGUCUGUAGGUUGUUUAAAAAGUAUUCUGUCAAAGAUUAGGGCUUAACCCUAGAUAGGCAGAAUAAACUUUUAAGCUAGAGUUUGGUAGAGGCAGAGGGAAUUCCCGGUGGAGCGGUGAAAUGCGUAGAUAUCGGGAGGAACACCAAAGGCGAAGGCACUCUGCUGGGCCAAUACUAACACUGAGAGACGAAAGCGAGGGGAGCAAAUGGGAUUAGAAACCCCUGUAGUCC
RNAcentral lists this ribosomal RNA (426 nucleotides) under uncultured bacterium. RNAcentral describes it as "partial 16S ribosomal RNA". It matches the Rfam family "Bacterial small subunit ribosomal RNA", at positions 354 to 796 of the family's 1533-position model. The record is from RNAcentral.